This is a non-coding RNA of Naematelia encephala, 91 nucleotides long. The record is from the annotation of a GenBank genome assembly. Lineage: Eukaryota; Fungi; Basidiomycota; Tremellomycetes; Tremellales; Naemateliaceae.
GCCCUCUUAGCUCAGUGGUAGCAGCGCGACACUAGUAGCUUCAUUCAUCAGCUGCAUGUCGAGGUCAGCCGUUCGAAUCGGCUAGUGGGCA